Long non-coding RNA from Carassius auratus (goldfish), 946 nucleotides. RefSeq lists it as uncharacterized. The record is from RefSeq and is a predicted model, not a curated record. NCBI's taxonomy places the organism in Eukaryota, Metazoa, Chordata, Actinopteri, Cypriniformes, Cyprinidae. The transcript has 7 exons.
UGCAUGUAGUCGAGGGGGAAACCAGAGACCAUGUUUAGGGAUGUUUCUUCAAGAGGUACAAACCAUCCUGUGUGCAUUUUUCACAUCCGUGAUAGCCUGUGUGACCUUUAACAUUUUUCAGGAAUGCACGGGCAGGUGCAUCACAGACCAUCGAAAGAGAUGUCUCUAGGAUGGGCCAGAACUGUGUUGCUGAGCUCUUAUAGAGUGGCAAACCAUCAAUGCUGACCUGAAGCUCCAGUGUGUGAAUGUUGCGCAGAAUGUCAACAUUCUGAUGUAGCACCUCUGCAAUUGAAUUCAGCACUCCAAGAUGCAAGGCAUUCGAUUGGAUGGUAGGUGCUGAUGUCGCGCUCGCGCUGCAAGAACAACAUGGCACGGGUUCAAAGCCUUAUUCAACUGAGAAAAUUGAUCAGCGUCAUGGUACAAGCGAAGUCUGAAUGGUUUGUUUCCCUGUUUCUUCUGCCUUGGCUGCACCAGCUGUGGAAACCAGACCUGGUGAGGACCCUCUCCUCCAUCCUCAACUAUUGAAUCUCUUAUAUCACUCGGAUGAGGUGAUCUGGAUCCAGACCGGAACUUGUGUAAAUCAUAGUUACCACGGGAUGAAGAUCCCAGCAGAAACAGAGAAACAAAUAGAGACAUCAUAAGCAUAGCUGGACAGACCAGCCUGUGAUCUCCUAAGACACCCAGAUUCACCCCUGGUCACGAUCAUUCCCUCACCUGUGUCUCAUCACAGUCCAUCACCAGUGUCUGCACCCUGCACACUGCCAAUAUUAUGGAUUUCUGUUCUGGAGAAAGAUGCCAUUCACAACAUAAUCUCUACACAAUAUCAAACUCAAAUAAUUUAGUCUUGCCAAACAGUUUCCCUGAUUUGUUACUGUUCACAAUGUAGCAUGGUCUUGCCUACCUUUGUCCAUUCAGUUAUUAAAAUGUUUUUAAUAUUUGUAUUGAA